AAGAGCCGUAUGAAUCCAAAGGUUCACGUACAGUUCCCUUCGGUUGACUCGACUCGCUAUGACGGAUUGGAACCAUAGCUUCAAAGUCGAAGCCAU
Molecule: non-coding RNA, 96 nt
Filed under: Methylomonas methanica
Lineage: Bacteria; Pseudomonadati; Pseudomonadota; Gammaproteobacteria; Methylococcales; Methylococcaceae
Source: RNAcentral